GGUCACGGCGCACGGCAGGCAACAACAACAGCAUUUACUGUGUACCAGGCAGGGCAGUGGAGAUCUGCUCUCCCAUUUGUUCCUAUGUCAUCCGCAAGAACUGUUCCACCAGCUUGGGGCAUCGAUGAGGCAGAGAGCUUAGGCACCGACCUGUCUUGUUAGGAGGACGUUUAUAGCCUUUCUCUCAAGGUUUUUCCCCUGCCACCCUCCACCCCGACCCUGAAUGACCUCUGAACCUGAGGGGAUUUCUUAGUUCCAAACGCUGCCUGUCCACCUCCCUUGCAGACCCAGCAAGAGCAGGAGUCUGGUUGGUUCACUGCUACAGCUGCUUCCUGGUCCCGAGGGGGCCGCUGUUCAGGCUCAGUUCCACAUGGACUCGUGGAUGCUCUGUCCUGUGCCUGUGCCAAGUCCAGUUUCUGGAUGUCUACUGGCUCUUGCUGUAUCCAUCUUGAAGGACACCCGCUUGAAGAGCCAAUUGCUUCCUAUCUGCCCUUCUGCUGCAGGCCAUCCUUAGUGAUUACAAAAUGUCGCCUGUUCCUAGUCAUGCUCCACUGUAACUGGCUGCACAGGGCUUACUUACUUCUUUAAAGUCGAGGUGGGGAAGCCACAAGUUGAUGUUCUACACGGCAGUCCUACCAUGGAGCACAGAGUUCCCUGAAUCACCCACAAGGUGUGGCAGGAGGUGCUGGUGCUACAGCUGUGAACAACAACAAAAAAAAACCCCUGUCCUUUGCAGAACUAACAAUUCUAUAGGUGGAAAUAGACAAAACUCCCAAGCCGAUGAAUAAAUGAGGGGACUGUUAAAAAAGAAAAAAUUCAACCGAGUAAAUGUGAAGAUCUGAUUGGCUUUAUUCAAGGAUUAAUUAAUCGAGAGGUGUCCCAUCUAGCAAGCGGGGGUGAGCAAGGA
Molecule: long non-coding RNA, 907 nt
Organism: Canis lupus familiaris (dog)
Lineage: Eukaryota; Metazoa; Chordata; Mammalia; Carnivora; Canidae
Exons: 3
Source: RefSeq, a predicted model, not a curated record